AGCGAACGUUUGCGGCGGGCUUAACACAUGCAAGUCGAACGGGCGUGUUCCUUUCGGGGGCGAGUCAGUGGCGCACGGGUGGCGUAACACGUAGGUAAUCAACCCUCUGGUUGGGGAGUAACACUUCGAAAGGAGUGCUAAUACCCGGUAUGGCGCAGCGGUCUUCGGAUCGCGGCGAGAAAGACCCGCAAGGGUUGCCAGAGGACGAGCCUGCGGCCCAUCAGCUAGUUGGCGAGGUAACGGCUCACCAAGGCGAAGACGGGUAGCUGGUCUGAGAGGAUGAUCAGCCACACUGGAACUGAGACACGGUCCAGACUCCUACGGGAGGCAGCAGUGGGGAAUAUUGCGCAAUGGGCGAAAGCCUGACGCAGCCACGCCGCGUGAGCGAUGAA
RNAcentral lists this ribosomal RNA (392 nucleotides) under uncultured bacterium. Its description in RNAcentral is "bacterial SSU rRNA". It matches the Rfam family "Bacterial small subunit ribosomal RNA", at positions 30 to 412 of the family's 1533-position model. The record is from RNAcentral.